AGAUACCCCAGUAGUCUUAGCCGUAAACGAUGGAUACUAGGCGUUGUCUGUAUCGACCCGGACAGUGCCGAAGCAAACGCGUUAAGUAUCCCGCCUGGGGAGUACGCACGCAAGUGUGAGACUCAAAGGAAUUGACGGGGGCCCGCACAAGCGGUGGAGUAUGUGGUUUAAUUCGAUGCAACGCGAAGAACCUUACCAAGAUUUGACAUCCCGUGAAUCUUCUAGAGAAAGAGGAGUGCCUUAGGGAACACGGAGAUAGGUGGUGCAUGGCUGUCGUCAGCUCGUGUCGUGAGAUGUUGGGUUAAGUCCCACAACGAGCGCAACCCUCGUCCUUAGUUGCCAUCAUUAAGUUGGGCACUUUAGGGAGACUGCCGGGGACAACUCGGAGGAAGGUGGGGAUGACGUCAAGUCAUCAUGCCCCUUACAUUUUGGGCUACACACGUACUACAAUGGUCGGGACAAAGGGCAGCAACCCCGCGAGGGCAAGCGAAUCUCAUCAAACCCGGCCUCAGUUCAGAUUGCAGGCUGCAACUCGCCUGCAUGAAGGAGGAAUCGCUAGUAAUCGCAGGUCAGCAUACUGCGGUGAAUCCGUUCCCGGGCCUUGUACACACCGCCCGUCACACCAUGGAAGCUGGCAACGCCCGAAGUCGUUACUCUAACCUUAGGGAGGAGGGCGCCGAAGGCAGUGCUAGUGACUGGGGUGAAGUCGUAACAAGGUAGCCGUACCGGAAGGUGUGGCUGGAUCACCUCCUUU
RNAcentral lists this ribosomal RNA (754 nucleotides) under uncultured cyanobacterium. RNAcentral describes it as "bacterial SSU rRNA". It matches the Rfam family "Bacterial small subunit ribosomal RNA", at positions 780 to 1533 of the family's 1533-position model. The record is from RNAcentral. Lineage: Bacteria; Bacillati; Cyanobacteriota.